RNAcentral lists this ribosomal RNA (467 nucleotides) under uncultured bacterium. Its description in RNAcentral is "partial 16S ribosomal RNA". The stretch from base 18 to 367 matches the Rfam family "Bacterial small subunit ribosomal RNA", at positions 45 to 393 of the family's 1533-position model. The record is from RNAcentral.
GACGAACGCUGGCGGCGUGCUUAACACAUGCAAGUCGAACGGAAAGGCCCUGCUUUUGUGGGGUGCUCGAGUGGCGAACGGGUGAGUAACACGUGAGUAACCUGCCCUUGACUUUGGGAUAACUUCAGGAAACUGGGGCUAAUACCGGAUAGGAGCUCCUGCUGCAUGGUGGGGGUUGGAAAGUUUCGGCGGUUGGGGAGGGACUCGCGGUUUAUCAGCUUGUUGGGGGGGUAGGGGCUUACCAAGGCUUUGACGGGUAGCCGGCCGGAGGGGGUGACCCGCCACAUUGGGAAGGAAGUGAGGCCCGGCCCCGUCCGGGGGCCCAGAGUGGGGAAUGUUGCGCGAGGGGCGGCCGCGUCGCGCAGUAUGGCGGGUGGGGGGAGGCGCGCCCCGGGGGUGCAGACCGCUACGGGCGGAGACGAUGCGGCAGGGAGGGUAAUGGUCAGAGAAGCACGGGGCAACUCCGC